CCUACGGGGGGCAGCAGUGAGGAAUAUUGGUCAAUGGGCGCGAGCCUGAACCAGCCAAGUAGCGUGAAGGAUGACUGCCCUACGGGUUGUAAACUUCUUUUAUAAAGGAAUAAAGUGAGGCCCGUGUGCCUUUUUGUCUGUACUUUAUGAAUAAGGAUCGGCUAACUCCGUGCCAGCAGCCGCGGUAAUACGGAGGAUCCGAGCGUUGUACGGAUUUAUUGGGUUUAAAGGGAGUGUAGGUGGGGUUGUAAGUCAGUUGUGAAAGUUUGCGGCUCAACCGUAAAAUUGCAAUUGAUACUGGCAGCCUUGAGUACAGUUGAGGUAGGCGGAAUUCGUGGUGUAGCGGUGAAAUGCUUAGAUAUCACGAAGAACUCCGAUUGCGAAGGCAGCCUACUAAACUGCCACUGACAUUGAUGCUCGAAAGUGUGGGUAUCAAACAGGAGUAGAUACCCGGGUAGUC
Molecule: ribosomal RNA, 460 nt
Filed under: uncultured bacterium
Lineage: Bacteria
Description: partial 16S ribosomal RNA
Rfam family: Bacterial small subunit ribosomal RNA
Source: RNAcentral